Molecule: long non-coding RNA, 1353 nt
Organism: Jatropha curcas
Lineage: Eukaryota; Viridiplantae; Streptophyta; Magnoliopsida; Malpighiales; Euphorbiaceae
Source: RefSeq, a predicted model, not a curated record
AAUGCAUGCGCCCUAUUUCUUUUCUCUCUCCCUUUCUCUCGACUUUCUCAGCCUCACGACAGCGCCGCCUCACUCACUACCUCUCCCUUUUCACUCUCGGAUGGCCAACACAGCAGUGCGACUCCACCUCUCUCUUUCCCUUCUCACCGAUAGUGACGCCGCCGUGAACCUCUCCCUCUCCAACUCAUUUUCAAUCUUUCUCCCUCUAAACCCGUCGGCUUCUUCUCCACUGCCACCGACAGCUAUCAAAUAUUUUUGUGCAAAAAUGGUGCGAACCAAAAAUAUUUCUAGAGAUCAGCAACAGGACACCCGAAAACGACGAAAGUCCACUACAACUGAUGUCGGAACCUCUUCAUGACGUAAAUGGAAAGCUCUUGCUUCGCAGCUUCCUUCAGUGCCAUCUGCAAUAGAAAGCAAGGAUAUUUAUAGAAUCGCAUUUUUAUACGGGAAGGAGCCUCAGAAAUUAGAAAAGAUAUAUUCUUCAUAAAAUCUAAGGAAAAUUUGGCAAUUGAAUCUGAAAAAAGAGUUAAUAUUGCAAGCCCAUUUUAUAAAGCCCAAAUUGAGGACGAUUUGCGAAAGAAUGAAGCCCACAAACGAUGCCUAGAAGGAGAAAAGCCGAAGUCCAACAAGGUGUGAACUUAGGCUAUCACCUAAGGCAUGAAAAAGGAGAAGAAUGGAGAUAGGCUAUCGCCUAAGCCAAAAAAAGGAGGCUAGGAGACCACCCAUGUGCACUAGGCGAUCUCCUAUGCCCAAACUUACACCCAAGCGAUCUCCUAUGCCUAGACUUACACCAAGGCUAUCUCUUACGGCCAAGAGACUACUUAAGCGAUCUCUUAUGGAUAAAACACUACUCCAAAUGAUCUCCUAUGGAUACUAGGCGAUCUCCUAUGUGCCAAAGCCAAAUCAUCCGAUCGCCUACACCAGUUCCAAGGCUAGAAAUUUCCAUUCAUUGAAUGACAACUCAUGCUUAGCUGUAAUCUGAUUGAAUGCAGCCCACUUGCCCCACUUGCCAAAUUGCGUAGAAGAGUAGCUUCCAAGCAUCUGAAAUUCUAUAAAUAGCAGCAUAAAUUGACAGAGAAAGGGGCUAAAAGGUUGAAAAUGUAGGAAUUUUAGAAUAUUACUCUACAAAUAUUUAGCAUAGUUUUAUGUUUGUAAUCUCAGAGGUGAAGAGAGGAAGGUGUGAGCAACAGAGUCUCUAACUAAACAGAAGCCAUACAUGAUCCGUCAUUCUCCUCCGUUAUUAUAUGUUAUUUUUAUGUUCUUUGUUUUAUUAUCGUUUUUAUCAAAAACAACAUUUCUGUAACUCUGUUCUUUUUCCUCAAUAAAAGAUAAGGAUUGCUAUUUGGUUGUUUA